AGAGCAAUGUCCCUACUUGAAAUUUGAAAUGUGAAAGCAGUAGGGAAAUGGGGUCGUUUUUUCCCUCUUUCUUUUGUCCAAAACCCUCAUGUAUAUGUAUAUCUAUCAAUUUGCUCCACAAAACACUCGUAAAUGGUGAGCAUGAGAAUUGAAGAACCUGAUUGGCUCAAAAUAGCUAAAUCUCAAUAGUCAAUAAUCUCCCCCCCAUGCAAAACGCCAAACUUUUAAUGAGCCAUUGACGUGUCUCCUCUUUGGCACCGACAACUCUGACACCUCAUUGCUUGCAUUUGCAUCUUCAUUUGUUUCCUUCCUCAAAUCUCAAACCCAAUUCAGCUCUUCAUUCCAUGCACAUGGAUGCUAAACCAGCUAGACAACACGUAUUGAUGACAUGGACGAAUUUUGUUCCUAUCUGCAACAUUUAACAAUUCUGAUUCAACAGCUUGAUUAAAGUACUGUUUAGCAUAUGAUAUAUUAGUAUAAAUCAUUUGGAUAUAUCAAUGUAAAUGGAAAGAAAAUUCCAACAAAAAAUGAAAGCACAGACUUCAAGUACAGCCACAUGCAUUUCCAAAUGAAAACGGAUUCUCCAAUCUUCUUAUCCUGAACCAACCAAAGCCAAUGAAAAUUGAAAUCCUAUUAACUUGUCAGCCACUAAAAUUCUCAUAUGCAAAUUAGAGGCUAACUGGUUUGCAAGUUGCUAGAUCAUUUGGUUGUCAACCAAGCUAAUAAUUUUAUUGUAAAGAGUUACUUAUUAUCACCAGUAUGAUUAUUUUACAUAACUGAAGAAAAUAUAUAGAAAAUUCACUUCAUUCCCAUGAAUAAGUGAAUAAACUAUUGAUUAAAGCAAGUUUUUUAUUCACCAUGAGUUGUGCCAUUAACAAGAUUCAAAAUAUCUCUUCUGAAGAUAUUUCAAUGUGUGCUUUGGUGUAUGCCAUUGCUACUUACUAUUGCACAUAACACUUGUUGUUAGCUAUAUUCUUUUUUAUCCUAUAACAAAGAACAACCAAAUUGUGGAUAUAUCCACCUUUAAUAAGCAAAAUAAUCAACAAAACCUACACCCAAAGGCAUUCAGUUGUUCCAAAAGAGGGUAUUCGUGACCUUUAAAAACUUAAAACUUUUAGGAUCUCCAUUUUGUGAAGUAUGGACAUGGAAUGACCGCGUUUUAGAUAAUGACCUUUGAAAAGUUGAGGUGACUAGUUUGAUCUUAUGCACUUUUUCCCAUCUAAACGGAGCCCACCAAUAUUUUCUCCUUCUAAAGCUCUGACCCAAGGUUCAUUUUAUAAAUGG
Molecule: long non-coding RNA, 1284 nt
Filed under: Gossypium barbadense (sea-island cotton)
Lineage: Eukaryota; Viridiplantae; Streptophyta; Magnoliopsida; Malvales; Malvaceae
Description: long non-coding RNA (GBAR_LNC022020)
Source: RNAcentral